GCGAGCCUGAUCCGCCAUGCCGCGUGUGUGAAGAAGGCCUUUUGGUUGUAAAGCACUCUUUNGCGAGGAGGAGGCUACUUGGAUUAAUACUCUAGGAUAGUGGACGUUACUCGCAGAAUAAGCACCGGCUAACUCUGUGCCAGCAGCCGCGGUAAUACGA
RNAcentral lists this ribosomal RNA (160 nucleotides) under uncultured Acinetobacter sp. RNAcentral's name for it is "partial 16S ribosomal RNA". It matches the Rfam family "Bacterial small subunit ribosomal RNA", at positions 377 to 528 of the family's 1533-position model. The record is from RNAcentral. Lineage: Bacteria; Pseudomonadati; Pseudomonadota; Gammaproteobacteria; Moraxellales; Moraxellaceae.